RNAcentral lists this long non-coding RNA (18153 nucleotides) under Sorghum bicolor (sorghum). RNAcentral describes it as "long non-coding RNA (SBIC_LNC002439)". Lineage: Eukaryota; Viridiplantae; Streptophyta; Magnoliopsida; Poales; Poaceae. The record is from RNAcentral.
UUGUAUAAAAUCAAAGACUAAAAAAAAUGCAAAUCACAUGCUAGAAACUUAUAGAUUACCAAUUUUUUUUUGCAUAAGCCAAUCAUUAUCAUCUCCCGGUAACCUGAUGAACCACAACUCGCAUCUGAAGCAAUCACCUCUAAAUUAAAUAAUUAAUAUGUGCAGUGGCCAUGCGUAACAGGCUUGAAUCAUGGACAUCUCGGAUACAUGUUGUCUUACAUUGCCUGUGGAAAAUGAGGACCGACCGUAGUGCUGCGAGUGCCAUAGUGAUGGGGAAUGUGACCAACAAUCACCGGUCAAUGCUAUGGAGAAGAAGUGAGAAUUUUUGAGCAUGAACCACCACCUUCAUGUUGAUUGAGUUUCUCUAGCAAGGGCGUGAGGGCAGCCAAUCGACAAGUUGAUUGAGUUGCUCUAGGCGCUGCAUCCUCUCCCUCUCCUGUGCCUACUCCACCGCCAUCAGUUUGAGAUACAAGAGGCCAAUGGAAAAAUUCCAAACAAUUAGCACAAUGGUAUAAUCAAUGCAUCUAGUUUGGGAGGUGUCAGCAUAAUAGCAUUAUUGUAACACCCAAAAUUUCAUUCCUUUAAAAUAGAUGAAUUGGAUUUAAUUAAAUAAUUUUUUGUGAGCAUAAGAAAUAUAAGAAAAAUAAAUAAAUUUGGGGAAUUAAAAUUUAAUAUAAGUUUAGAAACAUUUUGAUGCAUUCAUGCAGCAACAUUUUAUUUUUGGUGUUGUGUGGUUUUAAGCAAAAGAAGAUUUGAAUUCAAAUAAAAUUUGAUUAUGUAUUUGAAAAUUGGUUUGAAAUUGAAGAGGGCAAAAUCCUUCUUUCUCCCCCCUCCUCUCUCACUUUUGGCCUGCUCGGCCCAAACCCUGCACCCCUUCUUCUCUCUUUGGGCCAAGCCCAGCCGGCCUCCCCCACCCUCUCCCUCUCUCUCGCCGACAGAUGGGGUCCAUCUGUCAGCUCCUUCCCCUCCAACCGCCUCCUCUCUCUCCCCUCUCUCUCGGUUCAGAACCGCAGGCCCCCGCUCCCCACGAUCCUUCUCCCUCCCCCGCGCCUUGCUCUUUUGGCCGCGCUUGAGCCCGAGUCGCCUUCUCGCUCCUAUUUCGCUCUCUCUUCCGCUACGACUCCCGCGCGGAGCGCAGUGAGCUGCUGCAUAGCCCGCCGGAGCGCCACCACGAUCCACCGCCCGCCGUCCUGCGAAACCGAGCCGUAUCCGCCUCCGAUUUUCACCGUGGUGAGCGCGCCUCCUUCCCCUCUCCCUCUUCGGCUUUCUCCCGUGCGUUUUGGUGCUUUCUAGGGCCGUCCCCACGAGCUCCGUUGGGUCCUUCAAUGGCGCCUCCGUCGGCCGCCUUGUAGGGAAGCUCUCGGGCCACGCCGAGGCCGAGAACGAACUCGCCUUAGUUACACCACAACACCAACAUAGGCGCCGAACCAUCUGACACGAAAAGCCGUUACAGCCUCACAUGAUCUGACGCAAAAAAGAUAUAGCGUCAGUCCUGAGCUGACGCAGUAAGUCCUGACGCUAAAGACUUAUUGCAUCAGACCAGAGUUUUUUGCGUCAGACAGCAUGCCACCAAGAUUUGUGUCGAGGGUAUCGGUAAGGGGUACCCUCAGCGAUGCGCAUUAUGAGAUUGCCCAUACGAAGGUUGGGACCCCCAAUUCGACGCCUUAAUCUUGCUUACGCGCUGCCAACGACGGUCGCAGCCUCGAAUACGGAAAUAAGCGUCGAGCGAAUCGGUCAGGGCUCGAGGAACGACUACCGUCGAAGACGGAGGCGGGCUCGAGCGAACCGAGAGACAUCGAGCGUUGGGACACUGUCCGCCGCCUGACGCGCGCACGCGGGCGGGAGCAUUAAAUGCAUCUGACGUUUCCCACCUAACACACAGGUCAUGGGAGGCGUGAUAGGGAGCAAGCUUCUGUCCCAUCGUUCUUUUUGCAGCCUUCCCACCGAACGACCCAGGGCGUGUCAGGACGCAGGAAACAAGGAUGGAACGUCUAAUCGUGACCCCCUCGAGAUACCCAAGGUCAGCGCUCCAGAUACCAGCGUAUUACAGGGCGUCCGACCCUCGACCAAACAGGGUCCCUACUCAGGAACAAGUUGGGCGUCGACUAAACUUCAUCACAGCUACGCCGUCGGGUCCGCCACCACACCGUACAAGCGUGCGACCUCAGGACCGGCACAAGGCGGCUGGCAGGGCAGAACACAGGAGCACGCGUAAUCAUCACCGAGCUAUCAAGAUGGGACGGCUCGAGGCCAUGCCGUACGGAAGCCUCGAGUAGGUCAGCGCUCCAUGCGGCUAUCGAUCCCUACUCUAACAUCUAUGCAUGUACCCUGUGUCUCUCCUUGGAGCUAUAAAAGGAGGGACUCAGGAAUAGAAGAGGGACAGAUCACAACACAUGAACACGCACACUACUACGCAGUAGAGCAGCGCAGUUCAUACCACGCUUGUAUUCACCCCUGUACAAGCACUUAGGUGCAAGAUAAUACAAACUCUCUCCCCCCCCGCUGGACGUAGGGCCUUCUCUUGCCCGAACCAGGAUAAAUCUCAGUGUCUUCUUGCAUCACCAUCCGGAAAGGGGAGCACGCAUACAAAUUUACUCGUUGGUGUGACCCCCCGGGGGAUAAAACACCGACAGUUGGCGCGCCAGGUAGGGGUCCUGCGUGUUUUUCACCGAUUUCCCACCACUUUCCGGAUGGCUACUCCUGCCUCGCCGCUUCCGCACUCCACGGUGAUUUGGUUUGGGAGUCUCGAGUUCAUGUCUACGGGCUUCGGCUACGACAUGAUCUUGCUCUCGGUCAAAGGACCAGGAGGAGUCCGCGUUACGCCAGCACGGUUGAAGGCUCCAAGACGCCCUCACCACCACGCCUCCCCGCCUAAGAAGAGGCGCGGGCAGCACCACCGCGGCCCCCUUGCUUCGGCACGACCAACAACUCGUGCAAGGCAGGAUGCGGGCCACGGGUCGGCAGCACCGUCUGACCGAGCAACAAGUGCGACGACUCAGCACCACGCGACGACGGGGGGAGACGCGUCUUGCGCACCCUCCCCCACCGCAGCUAGGCUACCUCCACGCGGGUUGUUCUCUCCAAGGACGGCACUGCCGUUCGGAUUGGACAACGCCGCGGCAUCGCUCGCCAAGACGAUAUGCCCAAACACUCAGACAUACGUGGAAAGACCAAUGGUCAUUCCACGUAGUUCCGAAGAGCAGCGGCCGACGUCCGAACUGCCGGACCUUUCCAGAGUACGAGGCCUCCGCCGUCUAGGCCCCGGACGAUACUCGAUCACCUCCCUCAGGCAGCGAUGGCUGGAGGAAGGACGUGGGUAUUUCCACGCUGCCGAACCGGACUCCGACUCCGAGACAAACAGCUAUGACCCUACGAGGGAAUGCUAUCACCUCGACGGGGCGGCAGAAACCACCGACGAGACACGGGAUGCUGUUGCGGGCGGUCGAGCCCCCGCGGCGCAAGAAGACCCCAGGACGCCUGGGAACGACGGACGGCUCGACCCUCUUCCUCAUGAAGAUAGAACUGCGCAGCUCGCACAGCUGCGGGAGCUCAAGAUGAAGCUCGACGAAGAUCGCGAGCGCCUCGUCCUACUCGAGCAAAUCCUCGAACAAGACCUGCCCUACCCGCCGGGCGGAAGUGUCCGCAGACGCGCUCGAGAGGUACAUCGACAGAUCGUCGGCGAUACAGAGGCGGAGCAACUUGUCAGCCGCUUCCCUCGAGCGGGCCAGAAUGUAGUGGCAGCAACCAUGCUGCUACGAAACAUGCCAGAACCGUCAAGUUCCCAGGCCCGACGAAUUCGAGAUGAAGUUCAGACGUUGCUCCAGGUGGCAGCAGUUCAACAAGCCGAAAGUUCGGCAUCUCGACGACGAGGAGCUGCCACAGAGAAGCGCAACGAACAGCCUCUAAUCGAAGAGGAAGUGUCUGUCCAGCAACAACCUCCCCCUCGAGGUAGAAAGACCGCUCUCAUCCUCCCCGCCGACAAUCAACGUCGACACGACGCGCGACACGACGUCAAAGAAAAUAGACGCCGCCGGCACGGAGACGCGGAAGAACGUGGUUAUAGCGCGCAUCGCGGCGGGAGGUACGACAGCGACGAGGACCGGGUGGCCCCCGAACCUCCGGGCCCGCGGGUGUUCAGCAGGGCGAUUCGCAGCACGCCCCUGCCCAGUCCAUUCCGACCCCCAACCAGCAUCGCGAAGUACAAUGGAGAAACCAAGCCAGAGCUAUGGUUGGCCGAUUUCAGGCUGGCUUGUCAGCUAGGAGGCGCUCGGGGAGAUGAUCGAGCCAUCAUCAGACAGCUACCCCUUUUCCUCUCCGACACCGCCCGUCGAUGGCUCGAGGAACUCCCGGCCAAUCAGAUUCACAACUGGGUCGACCUGGUCAGAGUCUUCGAGGGUAAUUUCAAAGGGACCUAUAUACGGCCAGGGAACUCGUGGGACCUCAGCAAAUGCAAACAGAAGUCAGGGGAGACUUUACGGGAGUACGCUCGACGCUUCUCGAAGCAGCGCACUGAGUUACCACACACCCCCGACCACGACGUCAUCUUGGCGUUUGUCUCAGGCACCACCAGUCGAGACUUGGUGCGGGAAUUAGGCCGCAAUCGACCUCAGACCGUCGACGAGCUGAUGGACGUAGUAGCUAACUACGCGGCAGGGGAGGAGGCAGUCGGCGCCUUCUUCAGCUCAGAAGGAAGAAAAGGCAAGCAGCCCGUCGAUGAAGAUGGGACUUCCAGUCGAGGCCUCAAGAAAAGUAAAAGGAAGCAGAAAGUACGGCAGUUCCACCAGGGAGAUUCGGGCGACGACCUCGUCGCCACGAUGGAUCGAAAGAAGCCGCGAGGCCCUCCGGAGGGAGGCAUCUUCGACAAGAUGUUGGAGGAGCCGUGCCCUUACCAUAAGGGAGGCGCUAACCACAAACUCAAGGAUUGUCGCAUGCUGAGAAAGCAUUUCGACGGUCAGGGGCUCAAAAAAGAUGCGCGUGAUGACUCCAAGAAGGAGAAGGCUGGCGGCAAGGAGGACAACAAAGAUGACGACGGCUUCCCCGCCGUCCACGACUGCUACAUGAUCUAUGGCGGGCCUUCGACUCAGUUGACCACGAGGCAACGCAAGAGGGAGCGUCGCGAAGUCUUUGCAGCAAGGAUGGCGGUGCCCCAGUAUCUUAGCUGGUCAAGCACUCCCAUCACCUUUGACCGAGAGGAUCACCCCGACAAAGUGGUCGCCCCAGGCGUCUACCCGCUCGUCGUCGACCCCAUCAUCGUCAACACCCGACUCUCGAAAGUGCUGAUGGACGGCGGCAGCAGCCUCAACAUUAUCUACCUCGAGACCCUCGAUCUCCUCGGCAUCGAUAGAGAACGCCUCCAGCCGAGCGCCGGCGGCUUCCAUGGCGUCGUACCAGGGAAAAAAGCAUUGCCAGUAGGUCGAAUCGACCUACCGGUCUGCUUCGGAACGGCGGCCAACUUCAGGAAGGAGACCCUCACCUUUGAGGUGGUUGGGUUCCGAGGCACGUACCACGCCAUCAUCGGACGCCCGGGCUACGCCAAGUUCAUGGCUAUACCCAACUACACAUACUUGAAGCUGAAGAUGCCUGGUCCCAAAGGCGUCAUCACCAUCAGUUCUUCCUUCGAGCACGCGUACGAGUGCGACGUCGAGUGCGUCGAGUACGGGGAGGCGGUCGAGAGCUCCACCGAGCUCGUUGCGAAGCUCGAAGCCAUGGCCGCUGAGGCUCCAGAACCUAAACGUCAUGCGGGCAGCUUCGAGGCGGUGGAAAGUACUAAGAAGAUCCUGCUCGACCCCAACGACUCCGACGGCAAGGUGCUGACAAUCAGCACCGACCUCGACCCCAAAUAGGAAGCCGUGCUCGUCGACUUUCUCCGUGCGAAUGCUGAUAUGUUUGCAUGGAGUCCCUCGGAUAUGCCGGGCAUACCGAGGGAAGUCGCCGAGCACUCCUUGGAGAUUCGAGCCGGUUCCAAGCCAGUGAAGCAGCGGUUGCGCCGAUUCGACGAGGAAAAGCGCAAGAUCAUUGGCGAGGAAGUCCAAAAGCUUUUGACGGCCGGAUUCAUCAAGGAGGUUCAUCAUCCUGACUGGUUAGCGAACCCUGUAUUAGUUAAGAAAAAGAAUGGGAAAAUGAGGAUGUGUGUCGAUUAUACUAGUUUGAAUAAAGCAUGUCCGAAAGUUCCUUUUCCGUUACCACGCAUUGAUCAAAUUGUCGAUUCUACCGCGGGAUGUGAAACCCUUUCUUUCCUUGAUGCUUAUUCUGGUUAUCACCAAAUAAAAAUGAAAGAGUCCGACCAGCUCGCGACCUCUUUUAUCACGCCUUUCGGGAUGUUUUGCUACGUGACCAUGCCAUUUGGGCUUCGAAACGCGGGAGCAACGUAUCAACGUUGCAUGCUCCACGUAUUUGGCGAACAUAUAGGUUCAACGGUCGAGGCCUACGUCGACGACAUUGUCGUCAAGUCAAAGCAACGAGGAGACCUGAUCCAGGACCUCGAGGUUGCUUUCAGCUGCUUACGCACCAGCCGGAUCAAGCUUAAUCCCGAGAAGUGCGUUUUUGGCGUGCCUCGAGGCAUGCUCUUAGGUUACAUUGUUUCACAGCGCGGUAUCGAGGCCAACCCCGAGAAAGUCUCGGCCAUCACGAAAAUGGGGCCAAUCCGAGACAUCAAGGGUGUCCAGAGAGUCACGGGGUGCCUGGCGGCUCUGAGCCGUUUCAUCUCGAGACUAGGAGAAAAGGCAUUACCAUUAUAUCGACUCUUGAAGAAGGUCGAGCGUUUUUCUUGGACCCCCGAGGCCGAGGAAGCACUUGAAAAGCUGAAAAAGACGCUGACUUCGGCACCAGUCCUGGUUCCACCUCAACCUGCGGAGCCGCUGCUCCUCUACGUCGCGUCGACAACCCAGGUCGUCAGCGCGGCGGUGGUGGUCGAAAGACAAGAAGAGGGUCACGCGCUGCCAGUCCAAAGGCCGGUCUAUUUCGUCAGUGAGGUGCUUUCGGAGACCAAGGCGCGUUAUCCCCAAAUCCAGAAGCUGAUCUACGCCGUAAUCCUUGCCCGCCGUAAAUUACAACAUUAUUUCCUUGGUCAUCCUAUCACGGUGGUCUCUUCUUUCCCUUUGGGCGAAAUAAUCCAGAGCAAGGAGGCCAUGGGAAGGAUAGCGAAGUGGUCGGUCGAGCUCAUGAGCGAGACUCUCGCUUAUGCGCCUCGAAAGGCCAUCAAAUCGCAAGCCCUGGUAGACUUCGUCGCAGAAUGGACGGACUCCCAGCUUCCCCCGACUCAGGUCCAGGCGGAGCUGUGGACAAUGUAUUUCGACGGGUCACUCAUGAAAACUGGGGCCGGGGCCGGCCUACUGUUCAUCUCACCCUUGGGCGUCCACAUGAGGUACAUAAUCAGAAUUCAUUUCGCCGCAUCUAACAAUGUCGCAGAAUAUGAGGCCCUCGUCAACGGUCUCAAGAUCGCUAUUGAGUUAGGAGUCCGACGCCUCGACGUCCGAGGCGACUCCCAACUCGUCAUCGACCAGGUAAUGAAAGCCUCGAGUUGCCAUGACCCAAAAAAGGAAGCAUACUGCAAGGAGGUGCGUCGACUCGAAGACAAAUUCCACGGCCUCGAGCUCGUCCAUGUCGCUCGACGCUACAACGAGGCAGCCGACGAACUCGCCAAGAUUGCAUCUACCAGAGGCACAGUGCCGCCAGACGUAUUCUCAAAGGAUCUACAUGAGCCAUCCGUCGACUUAGGCACGGGGGCUGGCGCCGAUACCACCAUUGCCCAACCAACCAAUGCUGUCAAUGCGCUCUUGAUGGAGGAAGAGGUGAUGGAAAUAGAACGACGACCGGGUCGACCAUUCGAUUGGCGCACACCGUUCCUCGACUGCCUUAUCCGCGGUGAGUUGCCAGAAGACAGGACAGAAGCUCGCCGUAUCGCUCGACGGGCCAAAUCAUAUGUGAUCUAUGGUGAAGACAACGAGCUAUAUCGACGGAGCCCGACGGGAAUCUUACAGCGUUGCAUCACCAUAGAGGAAGGCCGAAAACUCCUCGACGACCUGCACUCGGGGGCUUGUGGCCACCACGCCGCCCCACGGACCCUUGUAGGAAACGCAUUUCGGCAAGGCUUUUACUGGCCAACGGCCGUGGCGGAUGCCGUCGAGCUCGUACGCUCGUGUCACGGGUGCCAAUUCUACGCCAAACAGACGCACCUGCCCGCCCAUGCCCUUCAGAUGAUCCCCAUCACCUGGCCGUUUGCGGUGUGGGGACUCGACUUAGUAGGACCUCUACAAAAGGCGAAAGGAGGGUAUACACAUUUGCUGGUGGCUAUUGAUAAGUUCUCUAAAUGGAUCGAGGCUCGACCCAUCACUAACAUCCGCUCCGAGCAGGCCGUCCUCUUCUUCUCCGACAUCAUCCAUCGAUUUGGGAUCCCCAAUGUCAUCAUCACCGACAACGGCACCCAGUUUACUGGCAGAAAGUUCUUGGAUUUCUGUGAUCAGCAUCACAUCCGUGUGAAUUGGUCCGCAGUAGCCCACCCUCGAACUAACGGCCAGGUCGAGCGUGCCAACGGCAUGAUUUUACAAGGACUCAAGCCAAGGAUCUACAAUCGAUUGAAGAAAUUCGGCAAGAGAUGGGUCGAGGAGCUUUCCUCGGUCCUAUGGAGCCUAAGGACAACGCCGAGCAGAGCCACUAAAUACACCCCGUUCUUUAUGGUCUACGGCUCUGAGGCUAUCCUCCCCACAGACCUCGAGUAUGGGUCACCUCGACUCAAGGCUUACAAUGAGCAAUCGAACAAAGAAGCUCAAGAAAACGCGGUCGACCAACUCGAGGAAGCUCGAGACAUGGCCCUCCUCAACUCUGCUAGAUAUCAGCAGAGACUCCGACGCUACCACGACAAGCACGUGCGCAAGAGGGACCUCAACGUAGGCGACCUUGUCCUACGAUGCCGGCAAAGCAACCAAGGACGCCACAAGCUAACCCCACCUUGGGAAGGCCCGUAUGUGGUGGCCGAGGUCCUUAAGCCAGGAACGUACAAAUUGGCGGACGAAAAGGGGGCAGUCUUCACCAACGCAUGGAACAUCGAACAGCUACGUCGAUUCUACCCCUAGAAGUCCUAGAUUCACGAUCCUACUUUUUGUACGAAGACUUUGUAAAUGAACGCAUGAAUAAAUAAAGUCUUUCCCUCGAGCAGUUUCUUUCUGUACCAAAAAUAGUUACGAAUUAUAGUCUCGACGUUAAAAGGGGAUGCCGACCAUGACCCAUCAUAGUCCGCACCCCCUCGGGGGCUAUCAGAGGGACGACCCCUCCCCAAGCCAAAAAGUUUCUCUAUUUCCUACUUAGUAAACCUUGAACGAUCGAGUAGUCAAGGCGCCUCGAGCCCCUCGAGGACCGAAGGAUAGCGAGCCUGAGAACACCUACGCCCACGGGCUAUGGAAACUCUACUCAAUCCCUCACCCUCGAGGCGAUCGAGGCUGUGUUUUACGAAAAAUCGAACAAGGAACACAUGUGUAGGCACAAAGGAAAUAAAGGAACAUCGAGUGGAAAGACAAACAAACAUUUAACAACCACAAAAGUACUGUAUCGCUCAAAAACAGGAUUAACUAAGUUUUAUACAAGGGGCCCCAGGCACCCCGAGCAGGCUCGCAGGCCUCAAUCCAUGGUACGAUCCUCGCCACCCUCACCUCCGCCCGAGCCAGUCUCAGGAGGAAGCACCUCAGGUUCAAAUAGCUUGGCCAGCCUUUCUCCAGGGGCCUCCGCGUCAUCGAUCAAAGUGUGAAGCCUUUCUUCGUUCUCCGCGUCGGUCUUAGAGAUGUCGGUGACGAAGCCGUGGGAUACUACCUCCAUGUCGUAGGAGAAGCCCGAGCAGACAACCGCCAUCGCCCGCUUCACCCCGAUGUGGAGGGCAUCCCGCACCCGAUCUCGCAGCGUCGCACCUAAGUAGCACAGCUGAUCGACCAGUGCGUCACCUCGAGAGUCCUCCCUCGACUCAUCCAUAGGCUCGACCUCCCAAGAGGUCGAGAGAUCGCUUAUCGCCGUCUGCACUCGGCGGUUCAAAGCAACCUCAGCCUCGAGUUGAGCCUUGGAGUUGCGAGCCUCGGCUUGGGCGGCCAGGAGUUCGUCCUUGAGCCCUACAAAUACCGAUACAAAGGAGCUUUAGAAAAAACUCAAGCACACCUCGAAAAGGAAAUUCGACAAAGGGAACAUACCUUUGAUGCUCUCCUCUAGAGCCGUGUUCUCGCCAACCAAUCUGGUAUUGGCACGCUCGAUCUCUCUGUUGGAGCGCGUCAGCUCAGUAUUGGCAACGCGGAGAUCUUCGAUCACCCUGCCAGCCUGAGCGACGGCUCCACUCUUCUCUAGCAGUUCUCCCUUCAGACGCUCGACGUCGUCGGAGAGACUGCGGGAUCGAGCUCGCUCCAUCUCGAGGUCUUCGAGGGCUUUCUUUUUUGCGUCCUCGGCGGCACCCCUGGCGACCUCACUGUCCACGAACGCCACCUUCAUCUUCUGGAAGGUAUCGCGGAGGGAGUCCAGGUCGGUCUGGAGAAGGCCCUUCUCUUUAUCCAGGUCCGCAAUGAUGCCCUUGUGGGACAGGACCUCCUCCCGGGCUCUGGACGCGGCCUCCUCGACCGUAAGAGCCCGCUCCCGUAGCCGCACCGCCUCCUCCUCCGCCUUCUUCGAGACCUCUCGGGCUUCGACCAAAGCAGCCUCCCUCACCUUCUUCUCCUCCUCGAGUGCUAUAAGAUCUUUAUAAGCUUUAAGCAGCUUUUCCUGCGACUCGAGGAGUUGAUCCUUGAGGAGGGGAAGCUGCUCCCAUCCGCCCCUCGUGGCGUGAAUGAAGCUAGAUUUGAUGCGAGAGGUCUCUUUCAUAUCCUGCGAAUCAGGGGUCAGGGGGAUUAGAACAUAGAAACCCAAAAGCACCACCAAGAUUGGAGCUCGAGAAACACUUACAAAAUAAGCUAGGCCAAGCCCGUUGUUGAUGACGUCCGAUAGGAGCCCCACCACGUGUUUCAUCCAAAGGCGGAGCUCCUCGACGUGCUCCCACUUCUCGACCUCCUUCUUGUCGUCGAGGAAGAUAUUGGGCUCAGACGGGUCGCUGGAAGCUCGGAUACGAAUCCGAUCGGGACACCAGUUCUCCAUCUCCCGAUCGGCCCGCACCUUGACGCCGCGGAGAAAGUUCUCGACAGUCUCGAGGGAACCCCCGUGGCGCAAGAACAGGUCGGCGAGGCAAGGGAACCGCCCGUCGUCAUCCACCGUCUUCCACGUACCGUCCUUGCUCCCAGACGACCCGAUCUCGUCCUCCUCAGAGGGAAAGCGGUCCUCCCACGCUCGAUGCUCCCGGAGGAACCCUGGGGCGAUCCCGUCCAUUCCGUAGAGUGUCCUCUUGAUCUCGGACUCGGGGUCGGUGGGGGUGCGCAUCAUGCAGGCGAGCGCCACCACUCCGUCCGCUCGCCCCGACUCUGCCCGGAUCGCGGCAGGCGCCCCCGGGAGAAGCCACGCUGGGGUGGGAGGCCCGUACACCGGCAAAUCUCCCUCUUGAUCGCCGGGCUCUUGUGACGCUUGCGGCGCCGGUCCGGCCAAAAUUCGAGGCGGGGGCUCGAGUGGCUCGUUCUCUUGGCCCCCCAGCUGCUGUUGCCGCCCCAGCUGCUGCUGCUGCUCGUCCUGCUGAUGCUGCAGUUGCUCCUCCGGCUGGGGUUGCUGCUGCUGCUGCUCCAGAGACGGCUGUGCCGCCUCGCGCUCCCGCGCCUCCUCCUCCCCCAUCUUCCUUUGCGUCUCGAGGGCUCGAAGGCCUGCGGGCCAGGGAGUCCGUCCUGCGACGUUGGGAGUCGACGCCUCUUCCUCCAUGGGUCGAACGCCCCCAGACGCUUCGUUACCAUCAGACGUAUCGCUGAUGGUGAUGGGUUCCCCCUCGACCCCCAAUCGAGGGGGCUCGGGGGCUCCCUCUGACGCUCGCGUCUGGGGGGUCGCAUCAUGAGCUGGUGGCGGCGGAGUGGGCGCGGGACGAGGCGAAGCCACCUCGACGCCGGCUGAAGGUUGGGUGCUUGACGGGCCUGCAAAACAAAGGGUAAGGGUCAGACGUUAUGAUAACCGACAUAAUAAUAUCGCGACACCCAGGAGUUAACUACGAACCUGGUUCCGUGGAGGCGGCACCCGUUCUGAGCCUCUUGGCCAUCGAUGGUUGGGCCUGCUCGAGGGUCCGUUUCAGCCUGAGAAAAAGUCAGCAUGUGAGGAAAGGCGAGAGAAUGAGGGGACAAAGACCGCAAUAACUAAAGGGCUUACCCCACGGGCAGAACGGCUCGCCUUCCGCCCCCCCGACCAGCGGGCCUCGAGCCACCCCGCGUCGGUGCGCUAGGCCCCUCGAGGGCAGAAAUUGACCUAGGUACGUCGGAUCCCGCUUGGCGGGCGCCGGGACUCGCGCUCCUACGACCGGUGUCUCCUUUCUCAGAGGCCGCAGCGCGACCGCAGGUCAGCGGCCCCGACGCCUGGGACCUAGCCGGACCGCUCUCCUUGGGCGCCAGGGGAGGGCGCGGUGUGUCCUGGCCCGCCUUGAGCGCGGAAGGAGCGUCGGGCCGGGGACGACGAGACCCGCUCGGACCCCCCUCCGGCGCCUCCGUCCGGGGGGCGUCGACGUCAUCUCGAGGCGGGCCCUCGAGGAUCCGAUCGAGACGCGACGCCAUCCCCUCGGAGUCGUCGCUACUCUCGUCGUCAUCAUCGUCGUCGUUGGGGGAUUCUUCCUCAGGCUCCCCCCUCUGCCUGGAUUUGGCUCGACGCGCCUCUAAUGCUUGGCGGUCGAGAUUCUUCUUCUUCUCCCCCUUUUUUGCGGAGUCCUUGGCAGACUUCGACUUCUCGGCGGAUUGGCGCCGUUUGUCGCGAUCGACCUCGUCCUCCUUUACUGGAGGCCUCGAGGACCGGACAUCAAUCCGACCCUGCCAAAACUAAGGUAGACUUAGAAAAAAAGAGAGGGGAGAGGGGAAACCUAGAAUCGAGGAUGCGCGCAAGAAGAAAGCGUACCAGAUCGAUCGAGCCUGCGUCGGGUCGCAUGGGGAAGCCGUUGACGUGCUCCGGCUUAAAAUCACCGGCAAUUGCGGCCCUGACUCGGGCCGCGACUUCAUCGUCCGUCGGAGGCUCGCUGGACAUCCGACAUGCCUCGAGGUCCCGAGACGAGACGCCAGGGCCCAUCUCGUCCAUCCUCAGCGGUCGUGACAUCAGAGGGAGAACUCUCCGAUGAUGGACGGCCGAGAGGACGAGGGCGGCGGUCAAACCUUCCUGGCGAAGCUUCUUCAGGGCGUCGAGGAGAGGGUCGAGCCGAGGCUGAUGAGCUUGGACGACGCCGUAUGUCCAGUCCGCUGGGCGCUCCAAGAUCAGACGGCCCGAGUAGGGAGGUAGGAGAUUGUCGUCGUUCCGCAGGUAGAACCAUUGAGAGUCCCAACCGGCAUGGUUGGUCGACAACCCUACCGGGAUGUACUCCCGCGGCCGGUCCGUCUUCCCCGUCUUCUGCACCAGAUUGAGGCAACCCGCUCGCACGGGUUUCCUCACGCCCGUGGUUCCGGUGGAGGCGUGAAACAGCUCGCCCCUGUAGAGGUGGAGCCACAGCUCCCAGUGCGGCAUCAUCCCUAGGAAGCCCUCACACACGGCGGCGAAGACCGCCGCCACGGUGAUGGCGUUCGGGGAGAAGUGCUGCAGCUCCACCCCAUAAUGGAAGCAGAGGGCCCGCAUGAAGCGGCUUGGAGGCGCGCCCAGACCGUGGCGGUGGAACUUGGCGAACGACACCACGUAGCCCUCGGGUGGCUGAGGCGUCCUGUGGCUCGCUGGCGGCGCGAUCCACUCUGGCGACGACAGCGAGGUGCGGCGGCGCAGCAGUCCCUCCUUCUCGAGCUCUAACAGCCGGCGCUCCGUCAUCGACGACGGGCGCCAGUCAUCGGCGGCGACGAGUCUUACGGGCAUCUUGGCUAACGGGACGGUGGGUUCGCUACGGCUCGAGGGAGCGUGUGCGCGUGAGAUGACGAGAAAGCAAAGGCAGCGAAAGAACGAGAGCGAGAAGGCGGAAGGGAGAGGAACGGCGGUGACUCGACGACAUAUUUAUAGGCAGCUGUCCGCCAACGGACAGAUCCGAGAAGUAAGGUAACUCCCCCCAUAAAUGCGCCGCCUGACAGCUCUCUCUCUCUCCUCACAGGCCGGACUCUCCGAAUUCCUCGCCGAUACGGUAUCACAACGUCAUCCGCCUAAAAAGACGCGCCCAACGGGCAGAAAUGCGAACCGCCACGACCGUUUCCUUCCCUCGUAAGCCAAGGGACAUAACCGCAAAAGUCUCGGGAGGUCGAUGGCUGGCCCGCCGAAAGGGUUCGACAGCCGAUCUCGAGCGCUAGAGUCAGGGAUCCCAGCGAGCGGUCGAAGAUCGAGGCCCGCCUCGAGGGCUCGCUGGUGAUGUUCAAGGUAGGGUCGAGACAGUCGAGAGGAAUCCCCCUGAAGGGAGGCAUCGAGCCGCUGGACUCUAUCGAAUGAGACCGGUAUCCCCGACCACGUCGACCCUGCUUUAUGAGGACGCCUCCGGGCUACAGCUGACCCCCUCGAAAGGGGCACAGGUUCUCACUUGGACUACCCGCUAAGAACUCAAUUUGGGAUGAAAGACGCUCGCUCUAUCGAGAGUACGUCGAAACCCACGGGCAAAAACGAGCCAGUCAGAAUCUUCCACCACUGGUGUCGAAAGCGUUUCUGCGAAUUAGACAACAUAACCCUCGAAGGAGUCAAAAACUCCUCCGAGGUCUCGGGGGCUACCCCGCGGGGUCGCUCGCGCGCCCCCACGAAAAUUCGACCGUAAAUCAAAACCUCCAUUCGAGCGCUAGCGCUCGAAUGAAGGCUCGGGGGCUACUGUCGAGGGUAUCGGUAAGGGGUACCCUCAGCGAUGCGCAUUAUGAGAUUGCCCAUACAAAGGUUGCGACCCCCAAUUCGACGCCUUAAUCUUGCUUACGCGCUGCCAACGACGGUCGUAGCCUCGAAUACGGAAAUAAGCGUCGAGCGAAUCGGUCAGGGCUCGAGCAACGACUACCGUCGAAGACGGAGGCGGGCUCGAGCGAACCGAGAGACAUCGAGCGUUGGGACACUGUCCGCCGCCUGACGCGCGCACGCGGGCGGGAGCAUUAAAUGCAUCUGACGUUUCCCACCUAACACACAGGUCAUGGGAGGCGUGAUAGGGAGCAAGCUUCUGUCCCAUCGUUCUUUUUGCAGCCUUCCCACCGAACGACCCAGGGCGUGUCAGGACGCAGGAAACAAGGAUGGAACGUCUAAUCGUGACCCCCUCGAGAUACCCAAGGUCAGCGCUCCAGAUACCAGCGUAUUACAGGGCGUCCGACCCUCGACCAAACAGGGUCCCUACUCAGGAACAAGUUGGGCGUCGACUAAACUUCAUCACAGCUACGCCGUCGGGUCCGCCACCACACCGUACAAGCGUGCGACCUCAGGACCGGCACAAGGCGGCUGGCAGGGCAGAACACAGGAGCACGCGUAAUCAUCACCGAGCUAUCAAGAUGGGACGGCUCGAGGCCAUGCCGUACGGAAGCCUCGAGUAGGUUAGCGCUCCAUGCGGCUAUCGAUCCCUACUCUAACAUCUAUGCAUGUACCCUGUGUCUCUCCUUGGAGCUAUAAAAGGAGGGACUCAGGAAUAGAAGAGGGACAGAUCACAACACAUGAACACGCACACUACUACGCAGUAGAGCAGCGCAGUUCAUACCACGCUUGUAUUCACCCCUGUACAAGCACUUAGGUGCAAGAUAAUACAAACUCUCUCCCCCCCCCGCUAGACGUAGGGCCUUCUCUUGCCCGAACCAGGAUAAAUCUCAGUGUCUUCUUGCAUCACCAUCCGGAAAGGGGAGCACGCAUACAAAUUUACUCGUUGGUGUGACCCCCCGGGGGAUAAAACACCGACAAUUUGUUAUUGCGUCAGACAGUCCAUUGCUAGGAUAUGGCGUCAGAUACUCUUUUGCCAUACAUAUAGCAUCAGUCCAGCCAAUAGAAUUCAUAUUUAUAGCGUCAGAUUGUUCAACAGGAUAAUUUAAAUGUAAUAAAAAAAUAAAUUCAAUUGAAAAAACAUUUAGGAUAUAUAUAUCAAAUCCACAUUAAAGCUUAAUGUCCAUCACAUAAACAUAUAUAAGCACAUACAUCACAUAGAGGUCAAUACAUACAUAUAUUAAUCUUGUCUCUUGCAUGUUUACAUCACAUUCAGCAAAUAUAAAUCUGACUUUUUACAAGAACAAAUGCAAACGAGGCAUUUCCUUGAAGGUGGUUUAUAUCAGGCACCUAAGGUGCCAACCAGAGAAACAUAUGAGAGUAAAAAUAUACACUUUAAGAAUUUCAGUCAUAUUUUUUCUAAGGCUGCAUGUUCUAGUUCAGCUAAAACGUAUGGAUACACUUGAAGCAGGAGUAGGGGGGGACAGGGAUCUUUAAACAAACUGAGUGAAGCCCAACAACUCCCAAGACAAAGGUGAAUAAGACUAUGUCAGAAAAGCAAGAAAAAAUAAAAAUAUGCUCACCUGCACAGUACAUGUCCAGAACAUCAUAUCAAGGCCAAGAGUACCAACUUUAGACAUCUAAUUUCUCAUUAUUUCAUAUCUUUCCUACAAACCAAUGAUUGUGUCGACUUCAAAACCAAACUUUUCAUGCACCGUGCUAAUUCUGUAAAGGACCGAUGCUAACUUUGGGGAUAAACUGAAUAGCCAACUAAAAUAUAUUUUCUUUUUUUAAAAAAAAUAAGAAAAUACAAGGACAGCUUCAACAAUUCAAUAAAUACCAGAAUUAUCGAUGCUCAAAUAAAUUGAACAGUUACAAGAUAUAAUGGUGACCAAGUAAUGGAGUGAAAGGACAUCUAUCAAUUACUGCUGGGCAGACACCACUAUUCCCAGUUUAGACAGACCAAAAGGCUCUUUUGACUAGUAUAACUUUCAGUUUAACAAAAUAGCAAGCUGCAGUUUGCUACUCUGUAAAUUAUAGCAGCAAGUGAUUAACAAUAGGAUUACUCUAUCUACUACAAACAUAUAACAUCAGAAAAACAGAGAGCACUUUGAUCUGCAGAUUGCAUCAGAAAGACAAAGUAGCAUGACUUGUCUGAUUAAUAAUGUUUUAGUGCUACUGUUAAUAGCCUGCCUUCAAAACUGCUAGAAUAAAUUAACCACAGAUAUAAAAGGCAGUCAUGGGACUUGAAUUGAGUAUCUAACAUGAACAAAAUGUAUCUGGUUUUACGGAAUCACUGAUUAUAUGAUUUGAUACUGAAUUAGAAAAAAUAGCAGGAUAGCACUUAGUCAAGUGUUUGCACUACUCUCCAUUCAAGACUCUGUAAAUAGAUUGAUGAAGAUACUCACCUGAACAGUGACUUAGUUUUCUUUUUUCCGAUGGUCUGAAUCUAUAGAAAUUCAGUCACAAAAAUUCAGUACAUUGGUUGACACGUAAAUAAAGUUGCUUUUCUAAGUGAGACAUCUAAAUUUCAGUCACUUCAGACUUCAUGGUAACAAAAUCCAGCCACUUGGAAUGAUGUUAUACUGCUCAGAAUCUGCAAAGUAUUCUCAAGUAUGGUUUCUCUUUCUUUUAUUUGAAUUGGUAGAAAUAUUUAGACUGGGUGUCAAUUUUAUAGCAAUUGUUGUGAUGGCAGAAAAGCAAAAACACGUGAAGCUGCCUGUGAACGUUCUGCUUAUGAAGUGCAUCUAGCAUUUUUUCUAUAGUACUCUGCUCAUCGUAAAUAGUUAAGCAUCAAUGUUUGUGUACCUACUUUAUUUCAGAUGGGGAGAGAGCUAGGAAGGAAUCGAAGGCAUGCCUGCUUCUCACCAGGCGCAGGCGCUUGCAACACGGACACUAGGCGCAGGCGCUUGCAACACCGGACGGCCGCUCCACCACCGCUACGGGGGACGCCUCCGCAGACGAGCAGGCCCCAGACCAGCGUGGCCAUGCCACAGCCUGGCACGGGCGGCACGACCCCUCACGGCGCGGGCGCAGCCAGCCUACCGACGCAGGGUGCGUGGCCUCGCCUGGCGCGCGGCUCGGCGCGCCCGGCUCUAGCCCGGCGCGCGCGUGGCCCCCUGGCACCGCCGGCGCAGGCGCAGGGUGCGGCCGGCUUCCAUUCCUGGCGGCUCACCACCUUUCUUUUUCCUUGUUGUGUGUGUUUCCUGAGGAAGAAAAGAUCGGGAAUAGAAAGAAGGGGACGAAGUGGAU